UUUGGAUAACUGUGGUAAUCCUAGAGCUAAUACAUGCAACCAAGUCCCGACCAGUCUGACUGGGAAGGACGCUUUUAUUAGAUCAAGACCAAUCGCCCGGUUCGUCCGGGCGUUGCCUUGGUGACUCUUGGUAACACAUCAGAUCGCACGGUCUCAGCACCGGCGACAUAUCCUUCAAAUGCCUGACUUAUCAACUGUCGAUGGUAGACUCUAUGUCUACCAUGGUUAUAACGGGUAACGGGGAAUCAGGGUUCGAUUCCGGAGAGGGAGCCUGAGAAACAGCUACCACAUCCAAGGAAGGCAGCAGGCACGCAAAUUACCCACUCCCGGCACGGGGAGGUAGUGACAAAAAAUAACGAUACGGGACUCUUUUGAGGCCCCGUAAUCGGAAUGAGUACACUUUAAAUCCUUUAACAAGGAUCCAUUGAAGGGCAAGUCUGGUGCCAGCAGCCGCGGUAAUUCCAGCUUCAAUAGCGUAUAUUAAAGUUGUUGCGGUUAAAAAGCUCGUAGUUGGUUCUGCGUGCUACGCUGUCGGUUCGCCGCCUGCCGGUGUAACUGGCAUGCCGUGGCAUGUCCUGCCGGUGGCGUGCGGGAGCCUUGCCAGGUGCCGGCCCGGGUUUCAUCGCUCGGUGUCCGGAGGCCGGAGGACCCACCCGUGCGCCUACUCUAUCCUACCUAGGUGCUCUUCACCGAGUGUCGAGGUAGGCCGGUACGUUUACUUUGAACAAAUUAGAGUGCUCAAAGCACGCUAAAAUCUCUGCCUGAAUAGUGGUGCAUGGAAUAAUAAAACAGGACCUUGGUUCUAUUUUGUUGGUUCUUAGGAACACAAGGUAAUGAUCAACACGGACAGGCGGGGGCAUUCGUAUUGCGUCCUCCGAUGAGACGGGGCCGGGAAACCAAAGCUUUUGGGUUCCGGGGGAAGUAUGGUUGCAAAGCUGAAACUUAAAGGAAUUGACGGAAGGGCACCACCAGGAGUGGAGCCUGCGGCUUAAUUUGACUCAACACGGGAAACCUCACCAGGUCAGGACAUUGUAAGGAUUGACAGAUUGAUAGCUCUUUCUUGAUUCAGUGGGUAGUGGUGCAUGGCCGUUCUUAGUUGGUGGAUCGAUUUGUCUGGUUAAUUCCGAUAACGAACGAGACUCUAGCCUAUUAACUAGACGGAUCCAGAGCCCUCGUCUUUGGCGAAAAUGACUCUUCUUAAGGGGACAGGCGGCUUAUAGUCGCACGAGAUUGAGCAAUAACAGGUCUGUGAUGCCCUUAGAUGUCCUGGGCCGCACGCGCGCUACAAUGAAAGAAUCAGCGUGUGUCUCCCAGCCCGAUAGGGCCGGGUAAUCCGCUGAACCUCUUUCGUGCUUGGGAUUGUGGCUUGCAAUUGUUCUUCAUGAACGAGGAAUUCCCAGUAAGCGCGAGUCAUAAGCUCGCGUUGAUUACGUCCCUGCCCUUUGUACACACCGCCCGUCGCUACUACCGAUUGAAUGAUUUAGUGAGGUCUUCGGACCGGCGGGAAAUCCCUAUCGCUUCGGCGGUAUCGACGAACGCUGGGAAGAUGACCAAACUUGAUCAUUUAGAGGAAGUAAAAGUCGUAACAAGGUUUCC
This 1596-nucleotide ribosomal RNA is filed under the name Eurystylus luteus. RNAcentral describes it as "SSU rRNA". It matches the Rfam family "Eukaryotic small subunit ribosomal RNA". Lineage: Eukaryota; Metazoa; Arthropoda; Insecta; Hemiptera; Miridae. The record is from RNAcentral.